CAAUAGCGUAUAUUAAAGUUGUUGCAGUUAAAAAGCUCGUAGUUGGAUCUCGGGUUUGGGCGGACGGUCCACCUCGCGGUGGCUUACUGUCCGACCCGACCCGCCGGCCGGUUCUUACCCCUGGUGCUCUUGACUGAGUGUCUCGGGUGUCCGGAACGUUUACUUUGAAAAAAUUAGAGUGUUCAAAGCAGGCGCGUCGCCUGAAUAGUGGUGCAUGGAAUAAUGCAAUAGGACAUCGGUUCUAUUUUGUUGGUUUUCGGAACUCGAUGUAAUGAUUAAGAGGGACGGACGGGGGCAUUCGUAUUGCGGCGUUAGAGGUGAAAUUCUUGGAUCGUCGCAAGACGAACUACAGCGAAAGCAUUUGCCAAGAAUGUUUUCAUUAAUCAAGAACGAAAGUCAGAGGUUCGAAGACGAUCAGAUACCAU
Molecule: ribosomal RNA, 425 nt
Filed under: uncultured eukaryote
Lineage: Eukaryota
Description: bacterial SSU rRNA
Rfam family: Eukaryotic small subunit ribosomal RNA
Source: RNAcentral